This 429-nucleotide ribosomal RNA is filed under the name Bacteroidota bacterium. RNAcentral's name for it is "Bacteroidetes bacterium partial 16S ribosomal RNA". It matches the Rfam family "Bacterial small subunit ribosomal RNA", at positions 355 to 776 of the family's 1533-position model. Lineage: Bacteria; Pseudomonadati; Bacteroidota. The record is from RNAcentral.
UAGGGAAUCUUCGGCAAUGGGGGGAACCCUGACCGAGCAACGCCGCGUGAGUGAAGAAGGUUUUCGGAUCGUAAAGCUCUGUUGUUAAGGAAGAACGAGUGUGAGAAUGGAAAGUUCAUACUGUGACGGUACUUAACCAGAAAGGGACGGCUAACUACGUGCCAGCAGCCGCGGUAAUACGUAGGUCCCGAGCGUUGUCCGGAUUUAUUGGGCGUAAAGCGAGCGCAGGCGGUUAGAUAAGUCUGAAGUUAAAGGCAGUGGCUCAACCAUUGUAGGCUUUGGAAACUGUUUGACUUGAGUGCAGAAGGGGAGAGUGGAAUUCCAUGUGUAGCGGUGAAAUGCGUAGAUAUAUGGGGGAACACCGGUGGCGAAAGCGGCUCUCUGGUCUGUAACUGACGCUGAGGCUCAAAAGCGUGGGGAGCGAACAGG